UCUCGCCCUCUCGCCUGGGGCCUAAGGUU
This 29-nucleotide unclassified non-coding RNA is filed under the name Mus musculus (house mouse). RNAcentral's name for it is "oocyte_clustered_small_RNA14152". The record is from RNAcentral. Lineage: Eukaryota; Metazoa; Chordata; Mammalia; Rodentia; Muridae.